RNAcentral lists this ribosomal RNA (253 nucleotides) under uncultured bacterium. RNAcentral describes it as "partial 16S ribosomal RNA". It matches the Rfam family "Bacterial small subunit ribosomal RNA", at positions 524 to 776 of the family's 1533-position model. The record is from RNAcentral.
UACGUAGGGAGCAAGCGUUGUCCGGAAUCAUUGGGCGUAAAGCGCGCGUAGGUGGCCUCAUAAGUCCGCUGUGAAAGUCCAAGGCUCAACCUUGGAAAGCCGGUGGAUACUGUGAGGCUAGAGUACGGAAGAGGCGAGUGGAAUUCCUGGUGUAGCGGUGGAAUGCGCAGAUAUCUGGAGGAACAUCGGUGGCGAAGGCGACAUCCUGGACCGGUAUUGACGCUGAGGCGCGAAAGCCAGGGGAGCAAACGGG